RNAcentral lists this ribosomal RNA (301 nucleotides) under uncultured bacterium. Its description in RNAcentral is "partial 16S ribosomal RNA". It matches the Rfam family "Bacterial small subunit ribosomal RNA", at positions 509 to 807 of the family's 1533-position model. The record is from RNAcentral.
CAGUCGCCACGGUAAUACGUAGGGUGCGAGCGUUAAUCGGAAUUACUGGGCGUAAAGCGUGCGCAGGCGGUUGUGUAAGACAGGUGUGAAAUCCCCGGGCUUAACCUGGGGACUGCGCUUGUGACUGCACAGCUAGAGUAUGGCAGAGGGGGGUGGAAUUCCACGUGUAGCAGUGAAAUGCGUAGAGAUGUGGAGGAACACCGAUGGCGAAGGCAGCCCCCUGGGCCAAUACUGACGCUCAUGCACGAAAGCGUGGGGAGCAAACAGGAUUAGAUACCCGCGUAGUCCCUGUCUCUUAUAC